This is a small nuclear RNA of Rattus rattus (black rat), 107 nucleotides long. Lineage: Eukaryota; Metazoa; Chordata; Mammalia; Rodentia; Muridae. The record is from RefSeq and is a predicted model, not a curated record.
GUGCUCACGUGGACAGCACAGACACUAACAGGGGAACUGUACAGAGAAGAUAAGUAUGGCCCCUGUGCAAGGAUUACACGCAAAUUUGUUAAGAGCUGUAUCUUUUC